This 453-nucleotide ribosomal RNA is filed under the name uncultured bacterium. RNAcentral's name for it is "bacterial SSU rRNA". It matches the Rfam family "Bacterial small subunit ribosomal RNA", at positions 340 to 786 of the family's 1533-position model. The record is from RNAcentral.
UACGGAAGGCAGCAGUGGGGAAUAUUGCACAAUGGGCGCAAGCCUGAUGCAGCCAUGCCGCGUGUAUGAAGAAGGCCUUCGGGUUGUAAAGUACUUUCAGUCGUGAGGAAGGUGUUAAGGUUAAUAACCUUAGCAAUUGACGUUAGCGACAGAAGAAGCACCGGCUAACUCCGUGCCAGCAGCCGCGGUAAUACGGAGGGUGCGAGCGUUAAUCGGAAUUACUGGGCGUAAAGGGCACGCAGGCGGUUAAUUAAGUUGGAUGUGAAAUCCCCGGGCUUAACCUGGGAAUGGCAUUCAAGCUGGUUAGCUAGAGUCUUGUAGAGGGGGUAGAAUUCCAUGUGUAGCGGUGAAAUGCGUAGAGAUGUGGAGGAAUACCGGUGGCGAAGGCGGCCCCUGGGACAAAGGACUGACGCUCAUGUGCGAAAGCGUGGGGAGCAAACAGGAUUAGAUACC